UCGGGAAUUUUGGGCAAUGGGCGAAAGCCUGACCCAGCAACGCCGCGUGAAGGAUGAAGUAUUUCGGUAUGUAAACUUCGAAAGAAUGGGAAGGAUAAAUGACGGUACCAUUUAUAAGCUCCGGCUAACUACGUGCCAGCAGCCGCGGUAAUACGUAGGGAGCAAGCGUUGUUCGGAUUUACUGGGCGUAAAGGGCGCGUAGGCGGCGCGGUAAGUCACUUGUGAAAUCUCUGAGCUUAACUCAGAACGGCCAAGUGAUACUGCAGUGCUAGAGUGCAGAAGGGGCAAUCGGAAUUCUUGGUGUAGCGGUGAAAUGCGUAGAUAUCAAGAGGAACACCUGAGGUGAAGACGGGUUGCUGGGCUGACACUGACGCUGAGGCGCGAAAGCCAGGGGAGCAAACGGGAUUAGAUACCCACGUAGUCCCUGAGCGGGCUGGCAAGGCGCAU
This 447-nucleotide ribosomal RNA is filed under the name uncultured bacterium. Its description in RNAcentral is "bacterial SSU rRNA". It matches the Rfam family "Bacterial small subunit ribosomal RNA", at positions 355 to 825 of the family's 1533-position model. The record is from RNAcentral.